Molecule: unclassified non-coding RNA, 274 nt
Filed under: Moritella viscosa
Lineage: Bacteria; Pseudomonadati; Pseudomonadota; Gammaproteobacteria; Alteromonadales; Moritellaceae
Description: putative sRNA
Source: RNAcentral
AGACUUGUUUAAAGUCCAAGUACUAAGCCAUUCCUGUCCAGUUCUGAGCUCUGUACCUGUUCCAUUCUAUGUGAAGCCGAAUUCAACCAAUUACUUGAAAGACUAACAAGUACCAGACCCUUGCUUAUUAUAGCUUCUGCCUAAUUUACAUUAUGUUAUAAACGAGCUAGAACAGUAAUAUUACGAAAAAACUGGCUAUUAAUGGCUACAAAUCAUCAACCACUUCAAUGGUUUUAUGCUGCGCGCCGUAAUAUGUACCUUCGUCAAUCUCAUA